RNAcentral lists this ribosomal RNA (495 nucleotides) under uncultured bacterium. RNAcentral describes it as "partial 16S ribosomal RNA". It matches the Rfam family "Bacterial small subunit ribosomal RNA", at positions 28 to 507 of the family's 1533-position model. The record is from RNAcentral.
GACGAACGCUGGCGGCGUGCCUAAUACAUGCAAGUAGAACGCUGAAGGAGGAGCUUGCUUCUCCGGAUGAGUUGCGAACGGGUGAGUAACGCGUAGGUAACCUGCCUGGUAGCGGGGGAUAACUAUUGGAAACGAUAGCUAAUACCGCAUAAGAGUAGAUGUCGCAUGACAUUUGCUUAAAAGGUGCAACUGCACCACUACCAGAUGGACCUGCGUUGUAUUAGCUAGUUGGUGAGGUAACGGCUCACCAAGGCAACGAUACAUAGCCGACCUGAGAGGGUGAUCGGCCACACUGGGACUGAGACACGGCCCAGACUCCUACGGGAGGCAGCAGUAGGGAAUCUUCGGCAAUGGACGGAAGUCUGACCGGGCAACGCCGCGUGAGUGAAGAAGGGUUUCGGAUCGUAAAGCUCUGUUGUAAGAGAAGAACGAGUGUGAGAGUGGAAAGUUCACACUGUGACGGUAUCUUACCAGAAAGGGACGGCUAACUACGUG